This 499-nucleotide ribosomal RNA is filed under the name uncultured bacterium. RNAcentral describes it as "bacterial SSU rRNA". It matches the Rfam family "Bacterial small subunit ribosomal RNA", at positions 24 to 507 of the family's 1533-position model. The record is from RNAcentral.
UCAGGAUGAACGCUGGCGGCAUGCCUAAUACAUGCAAGUCGAACGAGAGGAAGGAAAGCUUGUUUUCUGAAUCUAGUGGCGAACGGGUGAGUAACACGUAGGUAACCUGCCCAUGUGCCCGGGAUAACUUCUGGAAACGGAUGCUAAAACCGGAUAGGUAGCAGACAAGCAUUUGACUGCUAUUAAAGUGGCUAAGGCCAUGAACAUGGAUGGACCUGCGGUGCAUUAGCUAGUUGGUGAGGUAACGGCCCACCAAGGCGACGAUGCAUAGCCGGCCUGAGAGGGCGGACGGCCACAUUGGGACUGAGACACGGCCCAAACUCCUACGGGAGGCAGCAGUAGGGAAUUUUCGUCAAUGGGGGGAACCCUGAACGAGCAAUGCCGCGUGAGUGAGGAAGGUCUUCGGAUCGUAAAGCCCUGUUGUAAGAGAAAAACGACAUUCAUAGGGAAUGAUGAGUGAGUGAUGGUAUCUUACCAGAAAGUCACGGCUAACUACGUG